UGGGGAAUAUUGCACAAUGGGCGCAAGCCUGAUGCAGCAACGCCGCGUGAACGAUGAAGGUCUUCGGAUCGUAAAGUUCUGUUGCAGGGGAAGAUAAUGACGGUACCCUGUGAGGAAGCCCCGGCUAACUACGUGCCAGCAGCCGCGGUAAUACGUAGGGGGCUAGCGUUAUCCGGAUUUACUGGGCGUAAAGGGUGCGUAGGUGGUCUUUCAAGUCGGUGGUUAAAGGCUACGGCUCAACCGUAGUUAGCCUCCGAAACUGGAAGACUUGGGUGCAGGAGAGGGAAGGGGAAUUCCCAGUGGAGCGGUGAAAUGCGUAGAUAUUGGGAGGAACACCAGUAGCGAAGGCAGCUUACGGGGGCGCAAAUGACGCUGAAGCUCGAAAGGGGGGGUAUCGAACAGG
This 403-nucleotide ribosomal RNA is filed under the name Verrucomicrobiota bacterium. RNAcentral's name for it is "Verrucomicrobia bacterium partial 16S ribosomal RNA". It matches the Rfam family "Bacterial small subunit ribosomal RNA", at positions 355 to 776 of the family's 1533-position model. Lineage: Bacteria; Pseudomonadati; Verrucomicrobiota. The record is from RNAcentral.